This 804-nucleotide ribosomal RNA is filed under the name Bacillus subtilis. RNAcentral's name for it is "bacterial SSU rRNA". It matches the Rfam family "Bacterial small subunit ribosomal RNA", at positions 75 to 862 of the family's 1533-position model. Lineage: Bacteria; Bacillati; Bacillota; Bacilli; Caryophanales; Bacillaceae. The record is from RNAcentral.
GGAGCUUGCUCCCUGAUGUUAGCGGCGGACGGGUGAGUAACACGUGGGUAACCUGCCUGUAAGACUGGGAUAACUCCGGGAAACCGGGGCUAAUACCGGAUGCUUGUUUGAACCGCAUGGUUCAAACAUAAAAGGUGGCUUCGGCUACCACUUACAGAUGGACCCGCGGCGCAUUAGCUAGUUGGUGAGGUAAUGGCUCACCAAGGCAACGAUGCGUAGCCGACCUGAGAGGGUGAUCGGCCACACUGGGACUGAGACACGGCCCAGACUCCUACGGGAGGCAGCAGUAGGGAAUCUUCCGCAAUGGACGAAAGUCUGACGGAGCAACGCCGCGUGAGUGAUGAAGGUUUUCGGAUCGUAAAGCUCUGUUGUUAGGGAAGAACAAGUACCGUUCGAAUAGGGCGGUACCUUGACGGUACCUAACCAGAAAGCCACGGCUAACUACGUGCCAGCAGCCGCGGUAAUACGUAGGUGGCAAGCGUUGUCCGGAAUUAUUGGGCGUAAAGGGCUCGCAGGCGGUUUCUUAAGUCUGAUGUGAAAGCCCCCGGCUCAACCGGGGAGGGUCAUUGGAAACUGGGGAACUUGAGUGCAGAAGAGGAGAGUGGAAUUCCACGUGUAGCGGUGAAAUGCGUAGAGAUGUGGAGGAACACCAGUGGCGAAGGCGACUCUCUGGUCUGUAACUGACGCUGAGGAGCGAAAGCGUGGGGAGCGAACAGGAUUAGAUACCCUGGUAGUCCACGCCGUAAACGAUGAGUGCUAAGUGUUAGGGGGUUUCCGCCCCUUAGUGCUGCAGCUAACGCAUUA